CAGUAGCCACGGUAAUACGGAGGGUGCAAGCGUUAAUCGGAAUUACUGGGCGUAAAGCGCACGCAGGCGGUCUGACAAGUCAGAUGUGAAAUCCCCGGGCUUAACCUGGGAACUGCAUUUGAAACUGUCAGGCUGGAGUCUUGUAGAGGGGGGUGGAAUUCCAGGUGUAGCGGUGAAAUGCGUAGAGAUCUGGAGGAAUACCGGUGGCGAAGGCGGCCCCCUGGACAAAGACUGACGCUCAGGUGCGAAAGCGUGGGGAGCAAACAGGAUUAGAUACCCGAGUAGUCCCUGUCUCUUAUAA
This 301-nucleotide ribosomal RNA is filed under the name uncultured bacterium. Its description in RNAcentral is "partial 16S ribosomal RNA". It matches the Rfam family "Bacterial small subunit ribosomal RNA", at positions 509 to 809 of the family's 1533-position model. The record is from RNAcentral.